CCCUUAGACGUUCUGGGCCGCACGCGCGCUACACUGUUCGACGCAGCGAGUCUUAACCUUGACCGAAAGGUUUGGGUAAUCUUCAGCAAAGUCGAACGUGAUGGGGAUCGAUCAUUGCAAUUAUUGAUCGUGAACGAGGAAUUCCUAGUAAGUGCAAGUCAUCAGCUUGCGCUGAUUACGUCCCUGCCCUUUGUACACACCGCCCGUCGCUACUACCGAUUGAAUGGUUUAGUGAGAUCUCUGGAUUGACGCUGGCUAGGGGGCGACCCUUGGCCAGGCUGUCGAGAAACUGCUCAAACUUGAUCAUUUAGAGGAAGUAAAAGUCGUAACA
Molecule: ribosomal RNA, 331 nt
Filed under: uncultured eukaryote
Lineage: Eukaryota
Description: partial 18S ribosomal RNA
Rfam family: Eukaryotic small subunit ribosomal RNA
Source: RNAcentral